CCCGAAAGAUGGUGAACUAUGCCUGAAUAGGGUGAAGCCAGAGGAAACUCUGGUGGAAGCUCGUAGCGGUUCUGACGUGCAAAUCGAUCGUCAAAUUUGGGUAUAGGGGCGAAAGACUAAUCGAACCAUCUAGUAGCUGGUUCCCUCCGAAGUUUCCCUCAGGAUAGCUGGAGCCUGUGUUAUGUGUGUAGUUUUAUCAGGUAAAGCGAAUGAUUAGAGGUAUUGGGGUUGAAAUGACCUCAACCUAUUCUCAAACUUUAAAUGGGUAAGAUGUGCAGCUUACUUGAGUGAAGUUGUACUCCUUUUCUUUYGAAUACAGAGGCUCUUAGUGGGCCAUUUUUGGUAAGCAGAACUGGCGAUGCGGGAUGAACCGAACGCUGGGUUAAGGUGCCCAAGUCAACGCUCAUGAGAUCCCAGGAAAGGUGUUGGUUGAUACAGACAGCAGGACGGUGGCCAUGGAAGUCGGAAUCCGCUAAGGAGUGUGUAACAACUCGCCUGCCGAAUCAACUAGCCCUGAAAAUGGAUGGCGCUCAAGCGUUGCACCUAUCCCCGGCCGCCGUGUGGAGAUAACCAGUGUUGGUGACACGGCGUGUAGGAGGGCGCAGGGCUAUACUGUUUCUUUUUUCAUAAGCUGUACAGGCUGAAGCGUGAGCUCAGCUGAAGCUGGCCCUGGUGCAGAUCUUGGUGGUAGUAGCAAUUAUUCAAAUGAGAAGUGAUUACUUUGAAGGCCGAAGUGGAGAAGGGUUCCACGUGAACAGCAUUUGGACGUGGGUGAGUCGUC
RNAcentral lists this ribosomal RNA (781 nucleotides) under Farrea sp. NIWA 126004. RNAcentral's name for it is "partial 28S ribosomal RNA". The record is from RNAcentral. Lineage: Eukaryota; Metazoa; Porifera; Hexactinellida; Sceptrulophora; Farreidae.